GGCGUUGUAGCAAAGUGGUUACUGCGAUUGACUAGAAAUCAAUUCCCUUCGGGGGCGUAGGUUCGAAUCCGUAUGUUCGACGCUG
Molecule: transfer RNA, 85 nt
Filed under: Pseudocercospora fijiensis CIRAD86
Lineage: Eukaryota; Fungi; Ascomycota; Dothideomycetes; Mycosphaerellales; Mycosphaerellaceae
Description: tRNA-Ser (AGA) (tRNA-Ser-AGA-2-1)
Rfam family: tRNA
About the family: Transfer RNA (tRNA) molecules are approximately 80 nucleotides in length. Their secondary structure includes four short double-helical elements and three loops (D, anti-codon, and T loops). Further hydrogen bonds mediate the characteristic L-shaped molecular structure. tRNAs have two regions of fundamental functional importance: the anti-codon, which is responsible for specific mRNA codon recognition, and the 3' end, to which the tRNAs corresponding amino acid is attached (by aminoacyl-tRNA synthetases). tRNAs cope with the degeneracy of the genetic code in two manners: having more than one tRNA (with a specific anti-codon) for a particular amino acid; and 'wobble' base-pairing, i.e. permitting non-standard base-pairing at the 3rd anti-codon position.
Source: RNAcentral